Molecule: ribosomal RNA, 460 nt
Filed under: uncultured bacterium
Lineage: Bacteria
Description: partial 16S ribosomal RNA
Rfam family: Bacterial small subunit ribosomal RNA
Source: RNAcentral
CCUACGGGUGACAGCAGUGAGGAAUAUUGGUCAAUGGGCUUACGCCUGAACCAGCCAAGUCGCGUGAGGGAAGACUGCCCUAUGGGUUGUAAACCUCUUUUGUCAGAGAGCAACGCCGGCUACGUUUAGCCGGACUGAGAGUACCUGAAGAAAAAGCAUCUGCUAACUCCGUGCCAGCAGCCGCGGUAAUACGGAGGAUGCGAUCGUUAUCCGGAUUUAUUGGGUUUAAAGGGUGCGUAGGCGGAAUGCCAAGUCAGCGGUAAACUCGCGGGGCUCAACCUCGCUCCGCCGUUGAAACUGGCGUUCUUGAGUGGGCGAGAAGUAUGCGGAAUGCGUGGUGGAGCGGUGAAAUGCAUAGAUAUCACGCAGAACUCCGAUUGCGAAGGCAGCUCACUGGACUGCAACGGACACUGAGGCUCGAAAGUGUGGGUAUCAAACAGGAUUAGAUACCCUAGUAGUC